GAGUCGCGCGAGAAUGUAGCAAUACAGGAAAGCGGCGAAAGGGAGAGGACAACAUGGGAAUCUGCCCGGGGGACGAGGAUAGCGUCGGGAAACUGACGGUAAUACUCGAUAAUGUUUGCGGACCAAAGGUGAGAUUCCGCCCCUGGAUGAGCCCAUGCCCCAUUAGCUUGUUGGCGGUGUAAUAGACCACCAAGGCGAUGAUGGGUAGCUGGUGUGAGAGCACGACCAGCCUCACUGGCACUGAGACACUGGCCAGACACCUACGGGUGGCUGCAGUCGAGAAUCUUCGGCAAUGGACGAAAGUCUGACCGAGCGACGCCGCGUGCGGGACGAAGGCCUUCGGGUUGUAAACCGCUGUCGUAGAGGAUCAAAGGUAAUUGGGUUCUCCCUUUUAUUUGA
This 399-nucleotide ribosomal RNA is filed under the name uncultured Planctomycetota bacterium. RNAcentral's name for it is "bacterial SSU rRNA". It matches the Rfam family "Bacterial small subunit ribosomal RNA", at positions 59 to 472 of the family's 1533-position model. The record is from RNAcentral. Lineage: Bacteria; Pseudomonadati; Planctomycetota.